CAGUCGCCGCGGGAAUACGAAGGGUGCAAGCGUUAAUCGGAAUUACUGGGCGUAAAGCGUGCGCAGGCGGUUGUGUAAGACAGGUGUGAAAUCCCCGGGCUUAACCUGGGAACUGCGCUUGUGACUGCACGGCUAGAGUAUGGCAGAGGGGGGUGGAAUUCCACGUGUAGCAGUGAAAUGCGUAGAGAUGUGGAGGAACACCGAUGGCGAAGGCAGCCCCCUGGGCCAAUACUGACGCUCAUGCACGAAAGCGUGGGGAGCAAACAGGAUUAGAUACCCCCGUAGUCCCUGUCUCUUAUAC
This 301-nucleotide ribosomal RNA is filed under the name uncultured bacterium. Its description in RNAcentral is "partial 16S ribosomal RNA". It matches the Rfam family "Bacterial small subunit ribosomal RNA", at positions 509 to 807 of the family's 1533-position model. The record is from RNAcentral.